Molecule: unclassified non-coding RNA, 148 nt
Organism: Macaca fascicularis (crab-eating macaque)
Lineage: Eukaryota; Metazoa; Chordata; Mammalia; Primates; Cercopithecidae
Rfam family: Metazoan signal recognition particle RNA
About the family: The signal recognition particle (SRP) is a universally conserved ribonucleoprotein.
Source: Ensembl
GCCAGGCAUGGUGGUGCAUGCCUGUAGUCCCAGCUACUCAGGAGGCUGAGGCAGGAGGAUCACUUGAGCCCAGGAGUUGAAGGUUGCAGUGAGCUAUGGUUGCACCACUGCACUCCAGCCUGGACAACAGAGUGAGACGUUGUCUCUU